UAAUGGCUAUUUCAGUUAUUUCCACUAAAAAAAGCUAAAAUUAAAAAAAAAACUGUAAAACGCAAAAUCAUCACUAUCCGUGUCUCGCCACUCUUCCUCACACAAACAACUCUCUCAGUUCCUUACUCUUUGAGAAGUGAUAACCACACACCAAUCUUCUUCUUCUCGAUCUCGCUCUUGCUUUCACAUCUCUAUCAUUUCAUGUUCUUCAUCACUCAAAUCUCUUCCCAGUUUUCAUCUCAAUCUUAAUCGCCCUCUGAAUCCUCUUCUCGGACAAACUUGUGUUGAUUUCGAUUGAAAUCUCAAUCGUGCUCUAGAAAUCAAGUUGAACUUGUCAUUCAGUGAUUUAGACUCAAAAUUUUGAAGGUUUUAUUCGCUCAAUGAUUCAGCAAUGCAUUAUCGAUUUUAGAUUAUGAUGGAUAUGGCUUCGAUACUUGGGGAUGCAAUCGACUACUUGAGGGAGUUACUGCAGUGGAUUAAUAAUCUUCACG
Arachis ipaensis is the source of this 491-nucleotide non-coding RNA. The record is from RefSeq and is a predicted model, not a curated record. Lineage: Eukaryota; Viridiplantae; Streptophyta; Magnoliopsida; Fabales; Fabaceae.